Molecule: long non-coding RNA, 1952 nt
Filed under: Homo sapiens (human)
Lineage: Eukaryota; Metazoa; Chordata; Mammalia; Primates; Hominidae
Description: long non-coding RNA NONHSAT212476.1
Source: RNAcentral
CGGGAAGCUCGGCUCUGGGUUGCGGGCCCCGGCGUCUCCGCGUGGGGCGCACCGUCCGACCCCCCCCUCCCGGUGUGCAGCGCCCCGCACCGCCCCGCCUCGCCUGGGAGAAGCCGCCGGGACGCGCCGGGCUGGAGUGGGCGGUUAUAGGCUUUGAGCUAGGCCGUUUCCGGGAGGCGGAGCUCAGACCCCAUUUCCUUUCUCCACAUCCAGGUCAGGUGGCGUUUGCUGUGGCGGCUAGGCCCGCGUGCGCUGGAGACCUCCGCGCUGGCCCCCGCGAGCCUCCUGCCCUGGCCCGGCGCUGCGGCUCUGCCGCGGCGGCAGCAUGGGUGGCCCCCGGGGCGCGGGCUGGGUGGCGGCGGGCCUGCUGCUCGGCGCGGGCGCCUGCUACUGCAUUUACAGGCUGACCCGGGGUCGGCGGCGGGGCGACCGCGAGCUCGGGAUACGCUCUUCGAAGUCCGCAGGUAAGUGUUCAUUGGAUGGGUGUACCUCGUUUUUAAAAGGAGAAGCAAAAUGUUAUCAGCAUUUGAGAAGACUUAACUGAUGGUUCAUAUGAUGAUGUUCUAAAUGCUGAACAACUUCAGAAACUCCUUUACCUGCUGGAGUCAACGGAGGAUCCUGUAAUUAUUGAAAGAGCUUUGAUUACUUUGGGUAACAAUGCAGCCUUUUCAGUUAACCAAGCUAUUAUUCGUGAAUUGGGUGGUAUUCCAAUUGUUGCAAACAAAAUCAACCAUUCCAACCAGAGUAUUAAAGAGAAAGCUUUAAAUGCACUAAAUAACCUGAGUGUGAAUGUUGAAAAUCAAAUCAAGAUAAAGAUAUACAUCAGUCAAGUAUGUGAGGAUGUCUUCUCUGGUCCUCUGAACUCUGCUGUGCAGCUGGCUGGACUGACAUUGUUGACAAACAUGACUGUUACCAAUGACCACCAGCACAUGCUUCACAGUUACAUUACAGACCUGUUCCAGGUGUUACUUACUGGAAAUGGAAACACGAAGGUGCAAGUUUUGAAACUGCUUUUGAAUUUGUCUGAAAAUCCAGCCAUGACAGAAGGACUUCUCCGUGCCCAAGUGGAUUCAUCAUUCCUUUCCCUUUAUGACAGCCACGUAGCAAAGGAGAUUCUUCUUCGAGUACUUACGCUAUUUCAGAAUAUAAAGAACUGCCUCAAAAUAGAAGGCCAUUUAGCUGUGCAGCCUACUUUCACUGAAGGUUCAUUGUUUUUCCUGUUACAUGGAGAAGAAUGUGCCCAGAAAAUAAGAGCUUUAGUUGAUCACCAUGAUGCAGAGGUGAAGGAAAAGGUUGUAACAAUAAUACCCAAAAUCUGAUUGGUCAUAUUUUUCCAAAGAGUAAUGCAGUCUGGAUAUAAACGUAUUUUCUGUCUUCCUUAUAAGGGGAUUCUCCCAGCUGCUAAAUUUAAACAGUAAAUAUCACAUUUUGUCAUUAACACAGCUAUAACUUGCCGUGGUUCUCAGAUUUAUUUUGGACUAUUUUGAUGCCAAGUGAAUAUAAGAGCUUGUACUGAAACCAUUUAUUUCUUUCUAUUUUGCUAUUUGCAAAUGCUUGUUAUCUUCCCUACAUGAAGUGGCAGUAACCUUUUUCACAUUUAAGCUACCCUUCUACCUUUUGAAGUGAUUUGCAGUUACUCAUCUGAGACAGCAUCAGUAUUUGACUAAAUCAUUGUUUCACAACUGAAUAGUCUUGUUCUUUUAGUAGCAACGAAAUCCUAAGCUCUUGAGGCCAUUCACCUGCCAACCUGACCAUACUGCUUUCAAAAGUCUUUUCUCAUCAGUAGAAUCUAUUUUGGUCACUUCUAGUCAAUGAAAAAUGUAAACUUUUAGGAGAGAAUGUUUCUUAGGACUCACCCACUCCAUUCAAUGUUAUAUAUAAAAUAGUGUGAUCAAUCACAAUGUCCAUCUUUAGACAGUUGGUUAAAUAAAUUAUCUGGUCUUUGAAAAGAC